This 253-nucleotide ribosomal RNA is filed under the name uncultured bacterium. RNAcentral describes it as "partial 16S ribosomal RNA". It matches the Rfam family "Bacterial small subunit ribosomal RNA", at positions 524 to 776 of the family's 1533-position model. The record is from RNAcentral.
UACGUAGGGUGCGAGCGUUGUCCGGAAUUACUGGGCGUAAAGAGCUCGUAGGUGGUUUGUCGCGUUGUCCGUGAAAACUCACAACUCAAUUGUGGGCGUGCGGGCGAUACGGGCAGACUGGAGUACUGUAGGGGAGACUGGAAUUCCUGGUGUAGCGGUGAAAUGCGCAGAUAUCAGGAGGAACACCGGUGGCGAAGGCGGGUCUCUGGGCCGAUACUGACGCUGAGGAGCGAAAGCGUGGGGAGCGAACAGG